Molecule: ribosomal RNA, 253 nt
Filed under: uncultured bacterium
Lineage: Bacteria
Description: partial 16S ribosomal RNA
Rfam family: Bacterial small subunit ribosomal RNA
Source: RNAcentral
GACGAGGGGUCCUAGCGUUGUUCGGAAUCAUUGGGCGUAAAGCGUAUGUAGGCUGCCAUUCAAGUCAGUUGUGAAAUCCCCGGGCUUAACCCGGGAAGUGCUUCUGAUACUGUUUGGCUUGAGUACUGGAGAGGAUAGUAGAAUUCCUGGUGUAGUGGUGAAAUACGUAGAUAUCAGGAGGAACACCGGUGGCGAAGGCGGCUUGCUGGGCCUUACCUGACGCUGAGGAGCGAAAGCGUGGGGAGCGAACAGG